RNAcentral lists this ribosomal RNA (253 nucleotides) under uncultured bacterium. RNAcentral describes it as "partial 16S ribosomal RNA". It matches the Rfam family "Bacterial small subunit ribosomal RNA", at positions 524 to 776 of the family's 1533-position model. The record is from RNAcentral.
UACGUAGGGACCGAGCGUUGUCCGGAAUCAUUGGGCGUAAAGAGCGUGUAGGCGGCUAUUUAAGUCCUGCGUGAAAUCCUGCGGCUCAACCGCAGACGGUCGUGGGAAACUGGAUGGCUAGAGUGCGGGAGAGGAGAGUGGAAUUCCCGGUGUAGCGGUGAAAUGCGCAGAUAUCGGGAAGAACACCCGUGGCGAAGGCGGCUCACUGGGUCUCUUCUGACGCUGAGGCACGAAAGCUAGGGUAGCGAACGGG